GUGCCAGCAGCCGCGGUAAUACGUAGGGUGCGAGCGUUGUCCGGAUUUAUUGGGCGUAAAGGGCUCGUAGGUGGUUGAUGGCGUCGGAAGUGUAAUCUUGGGGCUUAACCCUGAGCGUGCUUUCGAUACGGGUUGACUUGAGGAAGGUAGGGGAGAAUGGAAUUCCUGGUGGAGCGGUGGAAUGCGCAGAUAUCAGGAGGAACACCAGUGGCGAAGGCGGUUCUCUUGGCCUUUCCUGACGCUGAGGAGCGAAAGCGUGGGGAGCGAACAGGCUUAGAUACCCUGGUAGUCCACGCUGUAAACGGUGGGUACUAGGUGUGGGGUCCAUUCCACGGGUUCCGUGCCGUAGCUAACGCUUUAAGUACCCCGCCUGGGGAGUACGGCCGCAAGGCUAAAACUCAACGCAAUUGACGGGGCCCCGCACAAGCGGCGGAGCAUGCGGAUUAAUUCGAUGCAACGCGUAGAACCUUACCUGGGUUUGACAUGGAUCGGGAGUGCUCAGAGAUGGGUGUGCCUCUUUUGGGGUCGGUUCACAGGUGGUGCAUGGCUGUCGUCAGCUCGUGUCGUGAGAUGUUGGGUUAAGUCCCGCAACGAGCGCAACCCUUGUUCACUGUUGCCAGCACGUUAUGGUGGGGACUCAGUGGAGACCGCCGGGGUCAACUCGGAGGAAGGUGGGGAUGACGUCAAGUCUUCAUGCCCCUUAUGUCCAGGGCUUCACGCAUGCUACAAUGGCUGGUACAGAGAGUGGCGAGCCUGUGAGGGUGAGCGAAUCUCGGAAAGCCGGUCUCAGUUCGGAUUGGGGUCUGCAACUCGACCUCAUGAAGUCGGAGUCGCUAGUAAUCGCAGAUCAGCAACGCUGCGGUGAAUACGUUCCCGGGG
This 879-nucleotide ribosomal RNA is filed under the name uncultured Propionibacterium sp. RNAcentral's name for it is "bacterial SSU rRNA". It matches the Rfam family "Bacterial small subunit ribosomal RNA", at positions 505 to 1379 of the family's 1533-position model. The record is from RNAcentral. Lineage: Bacteria; Bacillati; Actinomycetota; Actinomycetes; Propionibacteriales; Propionibacteriaceae.